UCCGGUUCUUCACCAGCAGUCUCCUUAGAGUCCCCACCAUUACAUGUUGGCAACUAAGGAUAAGGGUUGCGCUCGUUACGGGACUUAACCCAACAUCUCACAACACGAGCUGACGACAGCCAUGCAGCACCUGUCUCACAGUUCCUUUCGGCACUCUCAUAUCUCUAUAAGAUCCUGUGGAUGUCAAGGGUAGGUAAGGUUCUUCGCGUUGCAUCGAAUUAAACCACAUGCUCCACCGCUUGUGCGGGCCCCCGUCAAUUUCUUUGAGUUUUAAUCUUGCGACCGUACUCCCCAGGCGGAAAACUUAUCGCGUUUGCUUCGAUACUAAUAGGUCUUAGCCUAACAACAUCUAGUUUUCAUCGUUUACAGCGUGGACUAC
RNAcentral lists this unclassified non-coding RNA (379 nucleotides) under uncultured Gammaproteobacteria bacterium. Its description in RNAcentral is "contains 16S-23S intergenic spacer region". Lineage: Bacteria; Pseudomonadati; Pseudomonadota; Gammaproteobacteria. The record is from RNAcentral.